AAGGCACCAUUCUGGGGCAAGACUUGCUUCAGUGGGGCUUUGGUGCUCACUGAGUCUGCCCCCUAAAUGUGUCCUU
Molecule: non-coding RNA, 76 nt
Organism: Myotis davidii
Lineage: Eukaryota; Metazoa; Chordata; Mammalia; Chiroptera; Vespertilionidae
Source: Rfam